RNAcentral lists this ribosomal RNA (457 nucleotides) under uncultured bacterium. RNAcentral's name for it is "bacterial SSU rRNA". It matches the Rfam family "Bacterial small subunit ribosomal RNA", at positions 28 to 463 of the family's 1533-position model. The record is from RNAcentral.
GACGAACGCUGGCGGCGUGCUUAACACAUGCAAGUCGAACGAGAAGAGAUGAGAAGCUUGCUUCUUAUCAAUUCGAGUGGCAAACGGGUGAGUAACGCGUAAGCAACCUGCCCUUCAGAUGGGGACAACAGCUGGAAACGGCUGCUAAUACCGAAUACGUUCUCUUUGUCGCAUGGCAGAGGGAAGAAAGGGAGGCUCUUCGGAGCUUUCGCUGAAGGAGGGGCUUGCGUCUGAUUAGCUAGUUGGAGGGUAACGGCCCACCAAGGCGACGAUCAGUAGCCGGUCUGAGAGGAUGAACGGCCACAUUGGGACUGAGACACGGCCCAGACUCCUACGGAGGCAGCAGUGGGGAAUCUUCCGCAAUGGACGAAAGUCUGACGGAGCAACGCCGCGUGAACGAUGACGGCCUCGGUGUAAGGUUACUGUUAUACGGACGAAUAGGCGUAGCGGUCGAAUA